GCCGGCUACGGGGGUCCUAAGUAGCACUCCCUAUUCGUUCUUAGUGCUAGGACGGGUACGGGGUGUUACAAGAGUGGUAUCAGGGCAUGGUUACACGAUGCUAUGGGAAACCAUGUUUUCAAUGUUUUACCGAGUAAAUGCGUCGCAAGGGCUGUCUAGGAGAUUGAUUCGGUCACUUGCAAAACCUUAGUUUAAUGGGAAUUUAGGUUCUUAUGAUUUGUUUGUAUUGUAGUAUGCCACCGAAAAG
RNAcentral lists this long non-coding RNA (247 nucleotides) under Capsella grandiflora. RNAcentral describes it as "long non-coding RNA (CGRA_LNC000477)". Lineage: Eukaryota; Viridiplantae; Streptophyta; Magnoliopsida; Brassicales; Brassicaceae. The record is from RNAcentral.